UUUUUUUUUUUUUAAAGAAAAUAAAUUGGAUCUGGUUUUAAAUCAACUUUUGUUUAUCCCUUUGUUUGUUUCCCUCUGAAAAAAAAUUUAUGGGAAUAAUUCUCCUUGAUGGCUCUGAUUUUUCUUUAUGGAUCUUGUGAAAUUUUUUUCGUGUGCCUUCAUUUAGCUUGAGGGAGAAAUUUCUCCUUUUAUAUAAUUGUUGCAUGUGGAAAAUAAAUGGUAGCUAAGGAAAUGAUGAAAUUUUGGAGGAUUUAAGGUGAUAUGCCCUUGGAUAUUAAUGGAAUUUUAGAGAGAUGGGAAAAAAAAAAAAGAUCUUUCAAUUUCCUCCUGGAAAUAUUUUCCUAGAAACUUAAUUUAACUCAAUUGAGAUUAGUGAAUUUUAUUA
Molecule: unclassified non-coding RNA, 385 nt
Filed under: Hevea brasiliensis (rubber tree)
Lineage: Eukaryota; Viridiplantae; Streptophyta; Magnoliopsida; Malpighiales; Euphorbiaceae
Source: RNAcentral